GCGGCCGUGAUGGAAUUGGCAGUCAUGCUGGGUUUAGAUCCCAGUGGGUUCACGCCCGUGUGGGUUCGAAUCCCACCGGCCGCACCG
RNAcentral lists this transfer RNA (87 nucleotides) under Streptomyces sp. CB01373. Its description in RNAcentral is "tRNA-Leu". It matches the Rfam family "tRNA". Rfam says of the family: Transfer RNA (tRNA) molecules are approximately 80 nucleotides in length. Their secondary structure includes four short double-helical elements and three loops (D, anti-codon, and T loops). The record is from RNAcentral. Lineage: Bacteria; Bacillati; Actinomycetota; Actinomycetes; Kitasatosporales; Streptomycetaceae.